This 253-nucleotide ribosomal RNA is filed under the name uncultured bacterium. RNAcentral describes it as "partial 16S ribosomal RNA". It matches the Rfam family "Bacterial small subunit ribosomal RNA", at positions 524 to 776 of the family's 1533-position model. The record is from RNAcentral.
UACGUAGGGUGCGAGCGUUAAUCGGAAUUACUGGGCGUAAAGCGUGCGUAGGCGGUCGCGUAAGUCAGGUGUGAAAUCUCAGGGCUCAACCCUGAAACUGCACUUGAUACUGCGUGGCUCGGGUACUGGAGAGGAGACUGGAAUUUACGGUGUAGCAGUGAAAUGCGUAGAUAUCGUAAGGAAGACCAGUGGCGAAGGCGAGUCUCUGGACAGUUACCGACGCUGAGGCACGAAGGUCAGGGGAGCAAACGGG